Long non-coding RNA from Onychostoma macrolepis, 1595 nucleotides. RefSeq lists it as uncharacterized. NCBI's taxonomy places the organism in Eukaryota, Metazoa, Chordata, Actinopteri, Cypriniformes, Cyprinidae. The record is from RefSeq and is a predicted model, not a curated record. The transcript is spliced from 4 exons.
AUUGCUAAGUUGGCAACACUGUAUGAAACUUGGUGUGUUACAUCUCAAACACAACUCUUGGGAAAGUUUACCUCAUCAAACUGUGCUACUAAACUCAGCUUGUAGAGGGCGCUGUCACCAUUUGAAGGCGAUUUUCGAUGCUAAAAUGCUUUCUGAACAUGCAGAUAUAAAACAUUGCUCUGUUUGUAUACAUAUAAACAAACAAAUAUAGAAAAUAAUCGAGUCGAAAAAACAUGAAGGUAGUUUUCAGCUAAUAAGCAGCCCGCGGUUAAAGGAGUACGAGCCUCUCAUCAUGUCUAAACCGAAGACAGACUGCAGCGAAAGUUUUGUUUUUGGGGUUUUGAAAUGGAACAAAAGAGUUGGUCGGAUGGGACAGAUGAAACUCCACUUCAGAAAACUACAGAAUUCUCAGCAGUAGCACUUCCUCUAAGAGACGCUAUAAACUUCAACCUGAACACAAGUUUAAUCUGAACACACGAUCAACAAGCUCAAGAAUGAAGACGCUGCUGCUUUCACUGCUCUGUAAGUUUAUUUCUGUGUGACUGAGUGUGAUUCUGUCAUGAUCUGAAUGAUCUGUUUUCUGUUUCUUCAGGUCUGUUUGUGUGGAAUCAGUCCACAGAAGCUUUAACUGAUCAGCAGGUGGUUUUAGGGCAGAGUGUGACUUUAGCCUGCGAGUUUAAAUGUAAAGCCGCUAUAUGGUUUUUGUUGAAACUACCAGCUCGUCCAGAGAUGAUACUGUGAACAUUUGCAUCCAGUGAUGAUACUGAGACUGAUUAUUAUGAUGAAAAAUUCCGCAACAAAUAUUUAGAGGGAAACAGGAGCGAAUUAGUAAUCAAUAAUGUCACUGUUGCUGAUUUAGGAGUUUAUUACUGUAUAAAAGCAGGCUGGGCUUUAAAGAUCAGUGACGGUAUCAGACUGCACACCACUGAAGUCUGAGGUGAAGUUUGGUGAGCGUGACAGACCAGCAGCACUGUUGUUCCUGCUGAAUAUCUAGAAGUUCAUCCAAACUCUGUAUAUGAAACAGCUUCAUUCUGAGAGAUUGUGUUGAUUUAUCGCUGUUUGCUUCAAAUGAUCAGAAUUGAGAGCUGCUUGAACAUGUAAUGAAAUUAUGAUUCUCAAAGACUUUAAUUUGCUCUUUUCUGUUCAUAAUAAAACAUGACUAAAAUCUGUUUGCAAUUAAAAUGUCAAUCAAGUUUUAUAAUAACAUAUUCUUUUCGAAUAAAUCAAAUUUCUAAUGUUUUUGGUAGUUUAUUUCUGUCUCUGAGUGAUGAAUAAGCUGAUUUGAGUAUUUGUGCAUUUGUGGGUGCACUCUCCAAAUGCAAUUUCACCUUCAUGGAGUAAUUGAUGUGUUUUGUAGUUUUCUGAAGUGGAGUUUCGUCUGUUCUGCCCGAACAACAGCACUUUUACUUCUUACAUAAGAUUAAGUCGUUUCAUACAGUAAUGAGAGUAAAACAUGGUUAGCUUGACUGUUGUUUUAGAUUGACUGAUGUUUGUUACCUAAGCAUGUAUAAUGCAAAAUUCUCAAUAUUUUUUUCAGCAUGACUUUUCACUUUUGUCUUGAUAACUUAAUCUUAUGAGUGAAAUAUAAAUACAAG